GAUGAACGCUAGCGGCAGGCCUAAUACAUGCAAGUCGGACGGGAUUCAGGAGCUUGCUUCUGAUGAGAGUGGCGCACGGGUGCGUAACACGUAUGUAACCUACCUUUAUCAGGGGGAUAGCCUCUCGAAAGAGAGAUUAAGCCCGCAUAAAAUCACAGCACAGCAUUGUGUAAUGAUCAAAUAUUUAUAGGAUAAAGAUGGGCAUGCGGAACAUUAGCUAGAUGGCGGGGUAACGGCCCACCAUGGCGACGAUGUUUAGGGGAUCUGAGAGGAUGGCCCCCCACACUGGUACUGAGACACGGACCAGACACGUACGGGAGGCAGCAGUAAGGAAUAGUAGGCAAUGAGCGGAAGCCUGAACCAGCCAUGCCGCGUGCAGGAAGACGGCGCUACGGGUGGUAAACUGCUUUUAUACGGGAAUAAACCCAGAUACGUGUAUCUGGCUGAAUGUACUGUAAGAAUAAGGAUCGGCUAACUCCGUG
RNAcentral lists this ribosomal RNA (482 nucleotides) under uncultured bacterium. RNAcentral describes it as "partial 16S ribosomal RNA". It matches the Rfam family "Bacterial small subunit ribosomal RNA", at positions 28 to 507 of the family's 1533-position model. The record is from RNAcentral.